RNAcentral lists this ribosomal RNA (254 nucleotides) under uncultured bacterium. Its description in RNAcentral is "partial 16S ribosomal RNA". It matches the Rfam family "Bacterial small subunit ribosomal RNA", at positions 524 to 777 of the family's 1533-position model. The record is from RNAcentral.
UACGUAGGGUGCGAGCGUUGUCCGGAAUUAUUGGGCGUAAAGAGCUCGUAGGCGGUUUGUCGCGUCUGCCGUGAAAGUCCGGGGCUCAACUCCGGAUCUGCGGUGGGUACGGGCAGACUAGAGUGAUGUAGGGGGGACUGGAAUUCCUGGUGUAGCGGUGAAAUGCGCAGAUAUCAGGAGGAACACCGAUGGCGAAGGCAGGUCUUUGGGCAUUAACUGACGCUGAGGAGCGAAAGCAUGGGGAGCGAACAGGA